RNAcentral lists this ribosomal RNA (389 nucleotides) under uncultured bacterium. RNAcentral's name for it is "bacterial SSU rRNA". It matches the Rfam family "Bacterial small subunit ribosomal RNA", at positions 30 to 417 of the family's 1533-position model. The record is from RNAcentral.
AUUGAACGCUGGCGGAAUGCUUUACACAUGCAAGUCGAACGGCAGCACGGGAGCUUGCUCCUGGUGGCGAGUGGCGAACGGGUGAGUAAUACAUCGGAACGUACCCUGAAGUGGGGGAUAACGUAGCGAAAGUUACGCUAAUACCGCAUAUUCUGUGAGCAGGAAAGAGGGGGAUCGCAAGACCUCUUGCUUUAGGAGCGGCCGAUGUCGGAUUAGCUAGUUGGUGAGGUAAAGGCUCACCAAGGCGACGAUCCGUAGCGGGUCUGAGAGGAUGAUCCGCCACACUGGGACUGAGACACGGCCCAGACUCCUACGGGAGGCAGCAGUGGGGAAUUUUGGACAAUGGGCGCAAGCCUGAUCCAGCCAUGCCGCGUGAGUGAAGAAGGCCU